RNAcentral lists this ribosomal RNA (458 nucleotides) under uncultured bacterium. RNAcentral's name for it is "partial 16S ribosomal RNA". It matches the Rfam family "Bacterial small subunit ribosomal RNA", at positions 338 to 795 of the family's 1533-position model. The record is from RNAcentral.
CCUACGGGUGGCAGCAGUGGGGAAUAUUGCACAAUGGGGGAAACCCUGAUGCAGCGACGCCGCGUGAGUGAAGAAGUAUUUCGGUAUGUAAGGCUCUAUCAGCAGGGAAGAAAUAGCGACCUUUGGGUCGCCAGACGGUACCUGAUUAAGAAGCACCGGCCAACUACGUGCCAGCAGCCGCGGUAAUACGUAGGGUGCAAGCGUUAUCCGGAUUUAACGGGUGUAAAGGGAGCGUAGACGGCAGCGCAAGUCUGAAGUGAAAUGCCGGGGCUUAACCCCGGAACUGCUUUGGAAACUGUGCAGCUAGAGUGCAGGAGAGGUAAGUGGAAUUCCUAGUGUAGCGGUGAAAUGCGUAGAUAUUAGGAGGAACACCAGUGGCGAAGGCGGCUUACUGGACUGUAACUGACGUUGAGGCUCGAAAGCGUGGGGAGCAAACAGGAUUAGAUACCCCAGUAGUC